AAGAAGUUAAUCUAAAAUAAGACUAUUGAUUUCGACUCAAUAAAUUGUGAAUAAUACCACAACUUCUUU
Molecule: transfer RNA, 69 nt
Filed under: Chikila fulleri (Kuttal caecilian)
Lineage: Eukaryota; Metazoa; Chordata; Amphibia; Gymnophiona; Chikilidae
Description: tRNA-Arg
Source: RNAcentral